Non-coding RNA from Cyanistes caeruleus (blue tit), 8582 nucleotides. NCBI's taxonomy places the organism in Eukaryota, Metazoa, Chordata, Aves, Passeriformes, Paridae. The record is from RefSeq and is a predicted model, not a curated record.
CAUAAAUAUAAUUUAUUAUUAUAAAUUGUGUACCUCAUUGUGAUGUACAUGACAACUAGUAAAAUGCAGUUGUUUACUUCACCAAGAUAAAGCCUUGGAAGAGUCUUGACUGAGGAGGUCUCAAGUGCUCUCAGUGCUCCUCAGUUCUUAUACUUCACUGGAGAAGAGACAAAGCAGUGUUGCUUCCUGCAUCUCUGUCCCUUUGCUUCUCCUUGGACUUGCCAACCAUGAAAAACAGGAAUGCAGCUCCGUCUAUCCCCAGUGAGUCUGCAGGACUCAGACUGCUAUGAACACAAUGAGAGAAUACCAGGUUGAAAGGGAUUGCAAGGACCAUCUAGUCCAACCUUUUUUGGUAAGAGCAAGGUCUAGACAUGGCGUAGUAUACUGUCCAGCUGAACCUUAAAGGUGUCCUAAACUGGAGAGAGAAUCCACCAUUACUCUGGAGAGAUUAUUCCAAUGGCUGCUGUCCUCCUUGUAAAAAAAUUUCCUCUUGUGCCCAACCAGAAUCUUCCCAGGAGUAACUUGUACCCAUCAUUUCUUGGGAUGGCUAUCCCUUGAGACAGCUCUAUUGGUAGGUACACACUCAGUGAUCUGGUUUGAGACUAGGACUCAGCUGGCCUAUGAGAUUCUGGAAACUGUAUCAUGGGCUUGACUAAGUAAGAAGUCAAAGGUAUUUUGUUUUGCUUUCAUGCUUUAUUCUUAAGCACAUUCAAGAUUGUGAGACACUUAGACAUUGUGAUGAUACUGGAGUGCACUCAGCAUUAUACAGCUUGAGCACUCCAUGAUCUCAGAUGUGGCCAUCCACCACUUAAACUCUACUGGGGUUCUCCUGUUGACCUCAUUUCACCAACAGGAAACUGAGAGACAAAGAUUCAGAACAAGAGCACCAAAGCUACUGGAGUAAAAGAGUAGCUUUCUUCAUGGAUAGCUGGGGAAUGCAAAAGGCAAAGUUACAGCCAUAUGUGCUAUGCAUGUCAAAAUGGGGAGAAACGUGCCUGAGAGAGAUGGAGCCAAGCUGCCCAGCUGGUUCCUGUGGGUGUGGUGGAAAGAUGGGGAUUUAUCAAACAGUGCUUUCCCUUCUGCACUCAGGCAGGUAUAUUGUCUUUGGGUACAAGGAGUUAUCUUUUUGGAUGAUGUUGUUGCUAGAAACUGACAAAAGAAGAUAAGGCAAUGGUGUUUUCUUUUCUGGAAGACCAUGAAAAAGAUUAUUUUGAUGAAAAAAUUGCUAACCACACUCUGUAUCUUGACAUAUCACUUAAGGUGAUGGUGGUAUUUUGUGGAUUUGGCUGCAGGGGUCUUGCCCAAAACUGCACAAAUCAGCAAUGAAAGAAGCAUCUGAAACCCAGGUGUUCCAAACAUUAGAUUUGUGCCCUCUGUAUCAAAAUAGUUCUCUUCCAUCUGCUUGGAGUCACAUGUAUGUAAAACAGGCUUUCUACAUAAUGUCACACCUGAACAUCCUGAUCUAGACCUGAAGUCUUGCUUGUUGUCUUUCUGUACCAAGAAAAACCUGUGCCACCUCACCAUCCUAAUGAAGGGAGAAUUUGUCUAUGAAAUGCAAGACAGCACAGAAGGGGGCAGGGCAGAACCUUAGAAUAAAAGAACAAGAAAUUCAAAUUAGGCUGAAGAAGGGAAAAAUUUCCAACAGAAGAAUUAACAAGCUUGCUUAAGAUAACAGGAGAUAUGGUAAACCAGUUCUUCAAGGACCGAGAUAAUUUCAAUUUUCUUCACUUAAAAUUCCAGCCUGCAGUCUCUGAUGAACUUCUUGUCAACAUGAUACAGGCUUGACACUGCUGCCCUUGUUUAGGGUCGUCUCCUCUUCUUGGCUUCUAUAAAGUCCAGAGUAAUUUUCAGUCAUCUGUUCAAGACAGGGUUCAAAGCUCUGAUAUUACUGUUAUUCUUUUUCUUCUUUCAGUCCACAUUGGUAUACAUGUCCUAUUUUCUCUCAGAAACAAAGCUGAAGAUCUGCUUCAUUCAUUGCCUUUCAGGGAAAGAAUCAAAACGGUCUCAUCACUAAGGUUAUAUGGGAAAGUCACACAAGGGCAUGCAAGUAAUGGCCUUGUGGCCCCCUCAGCAGUACUGGAUCCACUCUUCAUGAAAGAUCAUGAAAAUGAUCCAAAUUAACUAGAGUAGUAUGCAUGUGAAGGCCUCCAGAUUGCACCCAUGUUAAAAACAAGACAUGGAAUUUGCCACAGCAAUUAACAUGCAGUAACAUUUCUGAAUUGGUAGUGAUGUUUGAACUUUCAGUGGUUAGCAGAUAGGCUAACAAAUAAACUGUGCACACAAAUAAAUUGCAUCACAAAUUUACAAUGUUUUACCCAGUAUCUGAGGUCAACACCUUAAAAAGGCUGUGCUCUAUGAAAAAGCACAUACACAGGAGUGAUCUGCAGUUACCUUGUCAUUCCACCUUCUCUGGAAACCAUAACUGGAAAGGUGUAGAUAACUAACGAGAUAAAUAUUACACUAACAUUUCACUGUGGGUUUCUAAUACACACGAUACAGACACUAGAACAGUGAUCCCAGUAUCUUUAUCGUAUAUUAACACAUUUCUGAUAACAGUCUUGCUCACUCUAACCUGCCUUUUUACUGAAAUAACUUCGUUGUAAAAAAAAAAAACCAACCCCCCUUUAAAACACUGCUUUGGGAGGUACAGACUGUCAUGGUAGUAAAAAGACUUGGAUACAAAAGAUGGGGCUUCAUUUUCACAAGAGUAUGAAAGCAAGCCAGAAUCAACACUGAACACUUGUUUGCUCAAUGACUGACCUAUGGCAAGGUCACUCUCUGUGAACUGAAAAUCUACAGAAUUCAUUCUAAAAAAGUCCCACAAACAAAAAUAAUUACUCUGCGUAGUAUGUUGUCCAUAUAAGGUGCUUACAAACACAUGAACUUUAGAGAAAAUACCUUCAUUUUCUGAUAAGUUGCUGAAAUGAUGCAGUUUUGAGGUGUGCCACUAUUUGAUGGUUUUUUUCCUUGAACCUCACCUCUCAGUUUAUCAAGUUUGCUCUUCAAAGUAGUAAUCUUAUUGCUGAAGAUAAAAACACUUUGAAAAUACUGUGACAGAAUGAAAAAGGACAAGUACAUGCUAUGCUACUUUGUGAAAAAAAUAAACAAAAACCCCCAAACCUUUUAGGGAGUUACUGAUUAUUUGUGAUUGCUAAUUUUUUGAGUUCAACUCAACAGGAACUGCCUGUCAGUUGUCUACUUUUAACUGUUUGAGAACUUCACAGGGUCACCAAGAAAGCAGUAGGAUAAAGUCUCUUUUUAUUUUUGCUGGUAGACCUGAAUGCCAACAUGAAAGUAAUUUCUGACACUGCACUUUGUACUCUUUGCUAUGAAUGUCUCUCAUUAUUUUGACACUGAUAAUGGUCAAGUUUGUGUUGCCUCAAGGGAACUACAGUAACUGUAGUAACACAACAAAAAGCCAUCUAGAGAUGCCAGGUCAUCCCCUGUAAACAUACCAAAACACACAGACAGUGUUGGUAGAAUGGUGGUAAAAGUCCACUGAUAAAAUAUUUGUAGUCUUUAAACUCCACAUCUAGCUUUAACAUGUAGACCUAUAAACACAAUUCCUAACAUGAACAUGACCACAAACAGGUAUUACUGACUUGGUUCAAGAGGUAAGGAAUAAAUACAAUUCUGCUCUCUGGGGAUCCAGAUGGAUGAAGGAGGGGGAUUGCACAGUGCAGCCAGAGACAGCACAGAAGCAAGGCUGUGCCCACACUCCAGGCCAGGACUGCAGGGUACAGGCAGCUGGCACUCAACAGCAAGUAUGACAAGGGCUGCUUUACCUGCUCACGUGGCACAUGCCAAACAGCAUUCCUACAUUCUGUAAACUUCUGAAACUGCAGCUAGCUCACAUACAACUGUAUGCCACUACUUUGGUGAGACUCAUCAGGAAAGGUGUCUUCAAAGACUGACUAUGCCAAACUUUUCAUCCUUGCCGGGUGUGCAGAAGUGUAUGUGAACACUGGUGUUUAGCCUCCUCUCCCCUACUCUACCAGACUUCUAAAAAUAUCACACUUAACCUUAUCUACUGCACUUGCUUCUGAAUCAAACAGUUUUUUAUUUAAGCAAUGUGAAGUAGAAGGAAUUUUUAGCAAAGAACACCUUGGCAAAGAAAUUGUCCUUUUAACUAAAACUAGGCAUCAUGACAUAAAUAUUAAGGAAAAUGUAGAACACCAUUACCUAGUGCUUCUCCAAAAGUGUGUUUCUUGCUAGGUUCACACUAGGUGGGGUGGCAGAUAUCUUCAUUUUCUACAGUAACCAGAAACUAUAACCAGAAACCCCUAACCCAUGUGUUAAAGUUACAGUGAAGUAGUACUUCUUUCUUAUUUGCUCUGAACAAUUGUAACAGUUAUGCCUACAAAAGUACAUUAUCACCAAAAUCAUGUGGUUAUCUCUGUGGAAUUUAUAGUUUGUGCAUCCACAAACCCAUAUGCAAAAAGUGUACUAUAUGUUUACGAUACAUAAUGCGUACUUCCUUCAUUUACAAACAACAGCAUAUGCAGUAAGAAAAUGUUAAGCAAAAUACACCCUGAUAAUCAGACGACCAUGAAAGUUUAAGCCUCUCCAACAAUUAACAUCUUUCAUAACCCUGCUAGAAGCAUUAAUGAAGAUUAAAGUGUGAAAAAUGUACAUUCUUUAUUCUGCUGCUUAGAUACAGAAUAAAAUUUAACUUUUCAGAAAAUAAAACUAUAGCUACAGCUUUGAGAGCUGUCAGUUUUCUUUCGAGGAUAAAGUACAUGCACUUUUUCCAGUUACUUUAUUGCACAUAAUGUACAGUCAUAAAUGGUGUUUAUUUACAUGUGUUUUGGCAACGUCCAUGUUUGCUUUUCCCCUCAGAAUACAUUAUUUUGCACAAACAAAACCUUAAAUGUUUCACACAAACUGCCAUAAUACAAGUCAAAGCAUAUAUGUAUAUAUAUGUCGCUUUAUUGUUGCUGUAUUUUCAAUUAAUUCUAAGUUUCAGAUCUCAGUUAAACUUUGUCUUGGGAGGCAGACUCCUCCCAGUUAGUCUGUUGUCAAAGACGGACACCCGAACUGCAGGCACCAAGAAAUCAGGACUGCAGCCUGCUGUGCCUAAGCCCCAGCCCCUAUGCACCACCUGCAAUUAGUGCGCAGGCACAGAGAAGGAAGAGCACUGUACUUUCGUUAACCAGUUUGAUUCAACAUUGAUUACCACGUGUUAAUGUUAUGGGUCAUGUGUUAUUGGGACAGUAUUCUAUUAACAGUGUUUAAGAAAAGUGUAUCAAACGUAUUAAAACAAAACAGAAAUUCCAGGAACAAUUAUGUACUUCCAGCCCUAGGAAUGUGUUACUCCGUUCUGUUCAAUGUGCUAUUUCUGAUAACUGGUAUUUUUAUCCAGACACAAAGAACUGUUUCAUAUACUCAUGUUAUGAGUAUAACCUCCAAGUUAAUUUCUUAAAACACACUUCAAUGUUUCCCUACAUUUUCAGGGCAGAAAACCUUUUAGUGGUCCCCCUCAUGGAGUAUAAUCUGGCAAUAAACCUUUUGCUACAUGUAGAUUUUUGACACACUUUUAAGAGGUAUGUUCAAAUGGAAGAUCAGUAUUGUCAGUACACUGAACAUAUGCUCAUUAAAAAUAUCUGAAAGAUGUUCUUGAAGGCACUUUAUAAUGUGCACAAAAAUACUCUUGGAGAAACCAAAUUUAUUGUACUUUGGUGCAACACUUAAGAUGUGAAUAGCAUUGCUCAGCAUUUGCUGUGAAAGGCUAGAUUGUAUUUUUGCUUAUAUUCUGAUCUACCAAAAAACAAAAAUUAUCCUAAGAUAAAUCCCACUUUACUGGAUUCGAAGAGCAAUUAUCUAAUUGUCUUGAAUGUAUGAUCUUUCAAAUGUUAAGACAAUUUAACCUCAGAAUAGGAAAGAAAAAGAAACUAACUUCAGUGAUUUAGCUAUACUGAAGUCAUCAAAUUCGGUUCUAAGAACAGUUCAUAUCCUUUCCUCUAAGUGGGCAAAGCAUAAAAUAGUUAAAUUUUCAGACAGGCACUCAGAUAAAUUGAGAAAUGCCUUUCGUGGACAACAAUAAUAAAUAUAUUAUUUUGAUUUUAGAGUUUUCCUAUUUUUUUCUGUCCUUCGAUUUUAAAGCACUACGAAAUUUACAGCAACUUCAACUACUGCAUAUACUGAAGAAUGAGAUGAAAAUGCACUGUGGACGAAGUAUAACAGUAGUUUAAUAUCUAUUGAUAAAAAUACAAAAUAAUAAUAAUAUUACAGAAAAGCAGUAGUUCUGGUAACAGAAGUGUUCUUUAGUGUAAAACAUUAAAGUUUUGUUCCAUAUGAAUAGUUUCACCUAUACUGGACAGAGUACUUCACCAAACUACACGUGCACCUCUGAUAAAAUUCUUUAAGAAUAUAAAUUAUUUGCUCUAUAAAGACACUUGUUCCAUUACCCAGUCAAAAGGUCCUGAUAUUAUCUGUUGUAAAUAUCUAAUAUUCUUAUCAUCUGCCUGUGGCUGAGUUUUAGGAUAGCAAAAUGAUCUGUUAAAUUAAAAAGAAAAUUCUGCACAAGUGAAACUAUUCAAAAUAAAUUGGCAUUUCAGCUCUACCUAAAAUUUUUGUAAAACAAAGAACUACAUGCCAUUAGAAAACUAACAAACAUCAUCAAAGCUAGACUAUUUUUCUCCAUAAAAUAAAGAUGCAUAAAAUUUUAAUUACUAGCAAUACUGUGAGAACUCUAUUUAUAUUGCAUGUAUUUCAAGAUAAAUAGUUUGAAAGUCAUAAAUUAAAGGAGGAAUUUGAACAGAUUCCGAUUCCUCAUCUGGAUUUUUACUAUCUACAGGAAAAAAAUGGGCUUUCAGGAAGAAAACUGAAAAGUUAUCUACACUGUGGAUCUCCCUCGACAUUAGCGGUAAUUACUGCUGACUCAAGGUUACAAAUCUAGAACUACCUGGGAAAUGUAAAGCAGCCUCAGACAGUGUAGUUCUAAGAAAGGGGAAACGUAUCUGUAAAAAUAUUUGCAUAGACGUACACUCAAAACAGCAUUUUCACCAUCUCAAUUCCCUGCAUUCAUGUUGCUCCAGUCAUCUACAGGGAUAAAGAUGACAAAAAGGCAGCUCUGGAAUUUGAAAUGGAUAUUGCUUGGUAAUUUAGUGAAAAGUGUAUUUUUGUACUUUCUGCAGUCAUUAGGAAAAGAUCCAGUUUGACCUUUGGCUUACAGAAGUUGUACUCCCCUGAGCUAGGCAAUACUGACAGACUACAGCAGAAGUACCAAAAAAAAAAAAGUUACUUGAAAUAGUGUGGCAUAAAUAAGGCACUUUAGCCAAAGGAAACCCCCAGGUUUUGUGUUUCAAUGUACAGCAAUUCUAUCCAGAAAUAUUCUGUGCUUAGAAGUGUCACAUGAUGCAACAGUGAAUCAAGUGCCAAAACCAACAAAUCACAAAUUACCGUGCCGUUAACUGCAACCUCUGAAUGGUUCAACAAAGAAUCAAACUGGUUUCUGUACACCGUCACAAUUUACCAAUACGCUGGCAUCUUUUGCUCUUUUGCUGUGAGCCAACAGUAAUUAUUUUAGAGAAAGAAAAAGAAAGUGUGGAAUUAGUAAUGCAGAUGCUGAAAGGCAAGUGGCAAGACUCUACAAGAAGAAUGCCUCAAAAAAUGCUACUUUGUUCCCAUUUCUACUGGCACCCAUUCGCCAAGGUAAAAGGCCAGAAUGACCAAAGCCAACUUAACAGUAGUGUGCAGAAUGUCAGCUGACAAACAACAUAAAAACAAGUCACGUUGUGUUAUCUGUGGUCACGUUCUUCAGGGUUAGUCCAGUAACUCAAGACUUUACAUUCUUCCGUCUUUAUUUGUUUAUUUUAAUUAAACAUGUAAUGGUUAAUAAACAGACAUAGUCCAGAGUUAGUAGGUUGGUAUUAUAACAUUUAUUAAAAUAAUGCUAUGGGUUAAUAGAAACAGCAAAGAACCAAAGAAUUAAAAUGCAAGCUAUGUAAAAACCCAACUAAAACCCAAAUAUGUCUAAUGUAUUCAUCCAGUAGCUAACUAAAAGCCCAAGAAAGACAACACUCCCAAUAUAAUAAAGUACUGCAAAACAAUUGGCAAUUUUUCAGUUAUCAAAAUUGUGGGUUUUGCAUUUUGUAUCCUUUUUUCUCAAUCAGGAAAAAAAUUCUUUUGAAUGUUAUAUAACAUACAUAUAAAACAAGAUAGAAAAAUACAUUAUAAACUUGUAACAAUGGCUGUAAAUACAUUAUCUUACAUGUUUCUCAUAGGCAAUAGGUUGGUUAUGGUACAUACAUAGCAUGAAACUACUAAGAUAAUAAAGAAUAGACAAAUACAUGUCAUCUGUACGGUUACAUACAAGCGACACUCCCAUCUACCCACUCUAAAAAAAUUACAUAAUACUGUCAGAAAGAAGUCUUAAAACUACUUAUUUUAAUAAAGAAAAAGUCAUUAAAGAAUGAUAAUACUGAGAACCAAGGCAUUCAGAGAUUUCAAAAGUCAUGCUUUUUUUUUAAGUUGAUCCAAAAUUUUGUCAACUAAGUUUUCAGAAGUUUGUUCAGAGCAAACAUUACUUUCACAUGUCACACAUCUAUUCCAUACACUUCCCCUCCCCCCCCCCCCCCCCC